UAGAGAAGAAAGAAUCAUGGAAAUGGCGAUGAUGAUCUUUUAGGUAUUGAUACCAAGCCGUAUACUUUCAACUAUUCUGAGUUAAAGAAUGCUACAAAUGACUUCAAUCCUAGCAAAAAGCUGGGAGAGGGAGGUUUUGGACCUGUAUAUAAGGGAACACUUAAUGAUGGAAGAGUAAUUGCUGUGAAAAGACUAUCUGUAAAAUCUCAUCAAGGAAACAAUCAGUUCAAAGCAGAGAUUGCUACUAUAUCAGCUGUGCAACAUCGUAAUCUUGUCACAUUAUAUGGAUGUUGUAUUAAAGGAAAUAAAAGACUACUUGUCUAUCAGUGUCUAGAAAACGGGAGUCUUGAUAACGCCUUAUUUAG
This is a long non-coding RNA of Neltuma alba, 365 nucleotides long. RefSeq lists it as uncharacterized. Lineage: Eukaryota; Viridiplantae; Streptophyta; Magnoliopsida; Fabales; Fabaceae. The record is from RefSeq and is a predicted model, not a curated record. The transcript has 3 exons.